Molecule: ribosomal RNA, 492 nt
Filed under: uncultured bacterium
Lineage: Bacteria
Description: partial 16S ribosomal RNA
Rfam family: Bacterial small subunit ribosomal RNA
Source: RNAcentral
AGUGAACGCUGGCGGUAGGCCUAACACAUGCAAGUCGAACGGCAGCACAGUAAGAGCUUGCUCUUACGGGUGGCGAGUGGCGGACGGGUGAGGAAUACAUCGGAAUCUACUUUUUCGUGGGGGAUAACGUAGGGAAACUUACGCUAAUACCGCAUACGACCUACGGGUGAAAGCAGGGGAUCUUCGGACCUUGCGCGAUUGAAUGAGCCGAUGUCGGAUUAGCUAGUUGGCGGGGUAAAGGCCCACCAAGGCGACGAUCCGUAGCUGGUCUGAGAGGAUGAUCAGCCACACUGGCACUGAGACACGGUCCACACUCCGACGGGAGGCAGCAGUGGAGAAUAUUGGACGAUGGGCGCAAGCCUGAUCCAGCCAUACCGCGUGAGUGAAGAAGGCCUUCGGGUUGUAAAGCCCUUUUGUUGGGAAAGAAAAGCAGCAGGUUAAUACCCCGCUGUUCUGACGGUACCCAAAGAAUAAGCACCGGCUAACUUCGUG